GCCAUCGUGGUGUAGUGGUCAGCAUACUUGGCACGUAUUCGAGACGUCCGUGGUUCGAGUCCCGGCGAGGGCA
This is a non-coding RNA of Stegodyphus mimosarum, 73 nucleotides long. The record is from Rfam. Lineage: Eukaryota; Metazoa; Arthropoda; Arachnida; Araneae; Eresidae.